Cinara cedri is the source of this 466-nucleotide non-coding RNA. The record is from the annotation of a GenBank genome assembly. NCBI's taxonomy places the organism in Eukaryota, Metazoa, Arthropoda, Insecta, Hemiptera, Aphididae.
UACUGCAUCUAUAUGUAUAUCUGUACUAAACACCGGGCAACUAUCCCCGAGAACGUCUCCCGUCGAUUGUAUGUUGGACAUUGAUUUGAAAUACUGAGCUAUGCUCUACGGGUUUUAUGUUUUACGUAAUCUAGGUUUGAAUGUAUUAAUUUUUAAAUAUGUAAACGCCCUGUGAAUAGUGGUAAGAGAACAAAAAUUAGCAUAAACAGUCGAUAAGCAGAAAUCGGUCUGAGUGUGAUUGAAACAACGCAACAUUCUAUAGAGGUUGGUUGUGGACGUAAGGCGUGAUGUGCGCAGAAAUGGAGAAGGAGUGAUUAUGAGUGGAGAAUGAGGGACCACGGAAACGGACGUUUUAUAACAAGCCAGAAGCAUUGAGAGUAAUGUGUCUUACCGAUCAGCGUUUAGAAGUCUUUAUGGUAUAGGUUUGGCUAUAAGUAUCUAUAUAUUUCACAAUUUUUGCGAACCU